UGGUUCGAUCAUGGCUCAGAUUGAACGCUGGCGGGGAUGCUUACACAUGCAAGUCGAACGGCAGCACGGACUUCGGUCUGGUGGCGAGUGGCGAACGGGUGAGUAAUGUAUCGGAACGUGCCUAGUAGCGGGGGAUAAUCACGCGAAAGCGUAGCCAAUACCGCAUACGCCCUUCGGGAAAGCGGGGACCUUUCACCUGCACUAUUAGGAGCGGCCGAUAUCGGAUUAGCUAGUUGCGGGGUAAACGGUUCACCAAGGCGACGAUCCGCAGCUGGUUUGAGAGGACUGACCAGCCACACUGGGACUGAGACACGGCCCAGACUCCCACGGGAGGCAGCAGUGGGAAUUUUGAAUGGGGAAACCUGAUCCAGCCAUCCUCGCGUGUGCGAUGAAGGCCUUCGGGUUGUAAAGCACUUUUGGCAGUGAAGAAAUCGGCAUCGGAUAGCAUCCAGCAACGACGGUACCUGCAGAAUAAGCACCUUACAAUUACGCCAGCAGCUGCGGUAACAUGCAGGGGUGCAAGCGUUAAUCGGAAUCACGGUGAAAGUGGGUGCGUAGCGGUCUGAAAGAAAGAUGUGAAAUCCCAGAGCUUAACUUUGAAUCCGCAUUUUUAACUCUACUGAGCUAGAGUGUCAGAGGGAGGUGGAAUUCCGCGUGUAGCAGUGAAAUGGCGGGAUAUGUGAGGAACACCGAUGGCGAAGCUGCUUCCGGGGAUAACACCGACGCCCUAUGCACGAAAGCGUGGGGAGCAAACAGAUUAGAUACACUCCUGGUAGUCCACGCCCUAAACGAUGUCAACUAGCUGUUGGGGCCUUCGGCCUGGUAGAAAGUGGAAAUGAAUUAGUGAAGUUGACCGCCCGGGAGUACGGUCGCAAGAUUAAAACUCAAAGGAAUUGACGGGGACUCCGCACAAGCGGUGGAUGAUGUGGAUUAAUUCGAUGCAACGCGAAAACCUUACCUACCCUUGACAUGUCUGGAAUCCCGAAGAGAUUUGGGAGUGCUCGUAAGAGAACCGGAACACAGGUGCUGCAUGGCUGUCGUCAGCUCGUGUCGUGAGAUGUUGGGUUAAGUCCCGGCAACGAGCGCAACCCUUGUCAUUAGUUGCUACGAAAGGGCACUCUAAUGGUGACUGCUGGUGACAAACCGGACGAGGCGGUGGGGAUGACGUCAAGUCCUCAUGGCCCUUAUGGGUAGGGCUUCACACGUCAUACAAUGGUCGGGACAGAGGGUCGCCAACCCGCGAGGGGAGCCAAUCCCAGAAACCUCGAUCGUAGUCCGGAUCGCAGUCUGCAACUCGACUGCGUGAAGUCGGAAUCGCUAGCAAUCGCGGAUCAGCAUGUCGCGGUGAAUACGUUCCCGGGUCUUGUACACACCGCCCGUCACACCAUGGAGUGGGUUUUACCAGAAGUAGUUAGCCUAACCGCAAGGAGGGCGAUUACCACGGUAGGAUUCAUGACUGGGGUGAAGUCGUACUGUCGCAG
This 1481-nucleotide ribosomal RNA is filed under the name uncultured Bordetella sp. RNAcentral's name for it is "partial 16S-23S ribosomal RNA intergenic spacer". It matches the Rfam family "Bacterial small subunit ribosomal RNA". The record is from RNAcentral. Lineage: Bacteria; Pseudomonadati; Pseudomonadota; Betaproteobacteria; Burkholderiales; Alcaligenaceae.